RNAcentral lists this ribosomal RNA (254 nucleotides) under uncultured bacterium. Its description in RNAcentral is "partial 16S ribosomal RNA". It matches the Rfam family "Bacterial small subunit ribosomal RNA", at positions 524 to 777 of the family's 1533-position model. The record is from RNAcentral.
UACGGGGGGUGCGAGCGUUGUCCGGAAUCACUGGGCGUAAAGGGUGCGUAGGCGGGUCUUUAAGUCAGGGGUGAAAUCCUGGAGCUCAACUCCAGAACUGCCCUUGAUACUGAGGAUCUUGAGUUCGGGAGAGGUGAGUGGAACUGCGAGUGUAGAGGUGAAAUUCGUAGAUAUUCGCAAGAACACCAGUGGCGAAGGCGGCUCACUGGCCCGAUACUGACGCUGAGGCACGAAAGCGUGGGGAGCAAACAGGG